This 202-nucleotide long non-coding RNA is filed under the name Brassica napus (rape). RNAcentral's name for it is "long non-coding RNA (BNAP_LNC023064)". Lineage: Eukaryota; Viridiplantae; Streptophyta; Magnoliopsida; Brassicales; Brassicaceae. The record is from RNAcentral.
GAGUGUUUAGGGGCUACCGUAUUUGAGUGUAUGCAGGAUAUCGCGCAAAAUAGCAAGAGAGGACGGAUCUAUUGAUGUCCACACCCCUUACUCGUUUCUGCUUCACGGAUUUGGUUGUUCUCCACUUCGGGUCAAUCAUAUGACUGUUCUCCAGCUCUUGACUUCUUUUCUUAUUCCUCAAAAAUCGGUACCAACUCCUUGC